RNAcentral lists this ribosomal RNA (447 nucleotides) under uncultured bacterium. RNAcentral's name for it is "bacterial SSU rRNA". It matches the Rfam family "Bacterial small subunit ribosomal RNA", at positions 355 to 825 of the family's 1533-position model. The record is from RNAcentral.
UCGGGAAUUUUGGGCAAUGGGCGAAAGCCUGACCCAGCAACGCCGCGUGAAGGAUGAAGUAUUUCGGUAUGUAAACUUCGAAAGAAUAGGAAGAAUAAAUGACGGUACUAUUUAUAAGGUCCGGCUAACUACGUGCCAGCAGCCGCGGUAAUACGUAGGGACCAAGCGUUGUUCGGAUUUACUGGGCGUAAAGGGCGCGUAGGCGGCAAUUCAAGUCAUCUGUGAAAUCUCCGGGCUUAACUCGGAACGGUCAGAUGAUACUGCUUUGCUAGAGUGCAGAAGGGGCAAUCGGAAUUCUUGGUGUAGCGGUGAAAUGCGUAGAUAUCAAGAGGAACACCUGAGGUGAAGACGGGUUGCUGGGCCAACACUGACGCUGAGGCGCGAAAGCCAGGGGAGCAAACGGGAUUAGAUACCCCCGUAGUCCCUGAGCGGGCUGGCAAGGCGCAU